Molecule: long non-coding RNA, 288 nt
Organism: Drosophila innubila
Lineage: Eukaryota; Metazoa; Arthropoda; Insecta; Diptera; Drosophilidae
Exons: 2
Source: RefSeq, a predicted model, not a curated record
AUCACGACAUUCUUGAAGAUGCAUAAUAUUUCUCUUCUGAUUCUGCUCUGCUCUCUGAUGAGCUUUGCUUUUGCAAAAUAUAUUCCAAGUGAAUGUGAAAACCGGGUCAGUCCUGAAUGUAAUACUAUCCACGAAUAUCUUUACUACGAUAAAGUCUUUGACGAAUGCUUUUGUCAUGAUAAGCGGCGCAUAUAUGUAUGGGAAUACGAGAGUGCUAUAUUAUAAGAUCAUAAAAUUAGUUGUAAUAAAUGCGAAUUAGUUUAUGUAUUAAACUUAUUCAAAAAUCUA